AACGCACAUUGCGCCCGCCAGUAUUCUGGCGGGCAUGCCUGUCUGAGCGUCAUUUCAACCCUCACGCCCCUAGGGCGUGGUGUUGGGGAUCGGCCAGCGCCCUCGCGGGCGAGGCCGUCCCCUAAAUCUAGUGGCGGACCCGUCGUGGCCUCCCCUGCGAAGUAGUGAUAUUCCGCAUAGGAGAGCGACGAGCCCCUGCCGUUAAACCCCCAACUUUCUCAGGUUGACCUCAGAUCAGGUAGGAAUACCCGCUGAACUUAA
This 261-nucleotide unclassified non-coding RNA is filed under the name uncultured Clonostachys. RNAcentral's name for it is "sequence contains ITS2". The stretch from base 1 to 52 matches the Rfam family "5.8S ribosomal RNA", at positions 103 to 154 of the family's 154-position model. Lineage: Eukaryota; Fungi; Ascomycota; Sordariomycetes; Hypocreales; Bionectriaceae. The record is from RNAcentral.